This 200-nucleotide unclassified non-coding RNA is filed under the name fungal sp. RNAcentral's name for it is "partial internal transcribed spacer 2". Lineage: Eukaryota; Fungi. The record is from RNAcentral.
UUAAGUUCAGCGGGUAUCCCCGCCCGAUUCGAGGUCGUCUAGGGGUGGUCAAUGCCUCAUCCCGUAUCCCGCGCGCGAACGAGGCCUGUGUAGGGCACUAUAUUACUACGCUUAGGGCUGUUAGGGCUGGGCAGCUAAUGAAUUUCGAGGGGCCGCCCCCAGGCGGUUCCCUCAACACCGGGCCACGAAGGCCCGAGAGG